RNAcentral lists this transfer RNA (68 nucleotides) under Mecinus janthinus. Its description in RNAcentral is "tRNA-Gln". The record is from RNAcentral. Lineage: Eukaryota; Metazoa; Arthropoda; Insecta; Coleoptera; Curculionidae.
UAUGUCUUAGUAUACUUGUAUACAGGUUUUUGAUACCUGGGGAAAUAGUCAAUUACUAUUAGAUAUAU